CCUACGGGAGGCAGCAGUGAGGAAUAUUGGUCAAUGGACGAGAGUCUGAACCAGCCAAGUAGCGUGAAGGAUGACUGCCCUAUGGGUUGUAAACUUCUUUUAUAUGGGAAUAAAACGUUCCACGAGUGGGAUUUUGUAUGUACCAUAUGAAUAAGGAUCGGCUAACUCCGUGCCAGCAGCCGCGGUAAUACGGAGGAUCCGAGCGUUAUCCGGAUUUAUUGGGUUUAAAGGGAGCGUAGGUGGAUUGUUAAGUCAGUUGUGAAAGUUUGCGGCUCAACCGUAAAAUUGCAGUUGAAACUGGCAGUCUUGAGUACAGUAGAGGUGGGCGGAAUGCGUGGUGUAGCGGUGAAAUGCUUAGAUAUCACGAAGAACUCCGAUUGCGAAGGCAGUUCACUGGACUGCAACUGACACUGAGGCUCGAAAGUGUGGGUAUCAAACAGGAUUAGAUACCCUAGUAGUC
RNAcentral lists this ribosomal RNA (460 nucleotides) under uncultured bacterium. RNAcentral describes it as "partial 16S ribosomal RNA". It matches the Rfam family "Bacterial small subunit ribosomal RNA", at positions 338 to 795 of the family's 1533-position model. The record is from RNAcentral.